This 68-nucleotide transfer RNA is filed under the name Urocitellus parryii (Arctic ground squirrel). RNAcentral's name for it is "Spermophilus parryii (Arctic ground squirrel) tRNA". It matches the Rfam family "tRNA". Rfam says of the family: Transfer RNA (tRNA) molecules are approximately 80 nucleotides in length. Their secondary structure includes four short double-helical elements and three loops (D, anti-codon, and T loops). Lineage: Eukaryota; Metazoa; Chordata; Mammalia; Rodentia; Sciuridae. The record is from Rfam by way of RNAcentral. RNAcentral also lists the same sequence under 1 other name.
GGGGUUGUAGCUCAGUGGUAGAGCAUUUGCCUUGCACGUAGGAGGCCCUGGGUUCGACCUCAGCACCA